This is a long non-coding RNA of Ipomoea nil (Japanese morning glory), 1243 nucleotides long. RefSeq lists it as uncharacterized. Lineage: Eukaryota; Viridiplantae; Streptophyta; Magnoliopsida; Solanales; Convolvulaceae. The record is from RefSeq and is a predicted model, not a curated record. The transcript is spliced from 9 exons.
AAUUCCCCAUCCCAGCCAUCCUUCAACACGUGUCUCUGUUCAAGUUCCAACUAUUGGAGUUCACUUUUCACCAGCCAGACUUUGCAGAUUGAUGGAAUUGUUAAACAUUCUCUCUCAUACAAUUCCAGAUGCUGAACAGCUUCCUACUGUUGAAAAUACUGAAGCUGAACUUUCUCCCUGGCAUUCACCAGAUCUAGCAACUGAUUCUCGGAUCCUUGUAUGGAAGGGGAUUGGGUACUCUGUUGCUGCCUGGCAAUAAAGUUAUCUUGUGCUAUCUGGAUUGUAUCUUUAUGUCUUAGAGUCUGAGGGGUCCCGUAGUUACCAAAGAUGCUCAAGCAUGGCUGGUAAACAAGUGCUUGAAGUUCCCCUGACAAAUGUUGGGGGUUCCGCUUCCUGUAUUGCUGUCAGUGCCAGAGGCAUGGAUCUACAGAAGGCCUUGGAGUCAUUUAGCACACUGAUAAUAGAGUUUCAUGAUGAAGAGGAGAAAACUACUUGGUUGAGAACACUUGUACAAGCUACCUAUCGAGCUUCUGCUCCUCCAUCAGUUAGUAUACUUGGAGAACUAAAUGAUGAUGCAUUAGAACUUGCUGAGGCUCGUGCUAUAAAUACAAAGAUGGCUGAACUUGUUGUUAAUGAAACAUUGGUAGAGAUGAAGCUAUCAUUAUAUGGGAAGGUUCAUGCAACUUGAUAUUGGCCAUCUUCAAAUUGAAAAUGAAGUUAGCUGGAUUGGAUCUCCUGAAAAAGAUCCUUCUGCAGUCCAUGUUGAUGUUCUUGAUGCUGAGAUUCUAGGUAUUAAUAUGGCUGUUGGAAUUAAUGGAUGUAUGUAUUGGCAAACCAAUGAUACGUGAAGGCAGAGACAUUCAUGUUUAUGUGCGCCGCAGUCUACAGGAUGUGUUCCGAAAGGUCCCUACAUUUGCAUUUGAUGUUAAGAUUGGCUUGCUACAUGCGGUGAUGUCAGAUAAGGAAUACAAUGUUAUUCUAGAUUGUAUCUCCACCUGUUUUCUGUAGCAACAAAUCUACUCCAAAAGAUAGAAUACGGUUGCUAGCUGAUAAAGUGAACAUGAAUAGUCAAAUACUCCUGUCACGGACAGUUACUAUAAUGGCUGUUGAAGUGGGUUAUGCCUUGCUGGAGUUAUGCAAUGGCGUCCAUGAGGAAUCACAUUUAGCUCAUGUUGCUCUUGAAGGUCUUUGGGUGUCAUACCGCAUGACUUCUUUGUCUGAAGCCUGAUCUUUAUGUUACAAU